This 284-nucleotide long non-coding RNA is filed under the name Homo sapiens (human). RNAcentral's name for it is "HSALNT0018163". Lineage: Eukaryota; Metazoa; Chordata; Mammalia; Primates; Hominidae. The record is from RNAcentral.
UCCGAAUCGGCGCAGGAAGGUAGCUGCGACGGCGGCCCCGCGCGCCUGCGCACCAGCGCCCCCUGACCAGCAGGCCUCUCCCGGGGCGCCGCGUUCCAGCCCCGAGGGCACGUGGCAGGUGGGACGGUUGGGCAGGAUUAGCCGCUCCGGGGUCAGGUGUGAGGUCCGCCCCAGUCUCAGGAGCCGCUGGGCCCGGCUGCAGAGGCUGGCCGCCUUCCAGGAUCCCAGGCGCCUACGUCCUCCGACGCGGUGGGAAGACGCGAGGUUUAAUAUAUGACAGCAAG